GACGAACGCGGGCGGUGUGCUUAAUACAUGCAAGUCGAACGCGUUGGCCCGAUUGAUUGAUGGUGCUUGCACCUGAUUGAUUUUGGUCGCCAACGAGUGGCGGACGGGUGAGUAACACGUAGGUAACCUGCCCAGAAGCGGGGGACAACAUUUGGAAACAGAUGCUAAUACCGCAUAACAACGUUGUUCGCAUGAACAACGCUUAAAAGAUGGCUUCUCGCUAUCACUUCUGGAUGGACCUGCGGUGCAUUAGCUUGUUGGUGGGGUAACGGCCUACCAAGGCGAUGAUGCAUAGCCGAGUUGAGAGACUGAUCGGCCACAAUGGGACUGAGACACGGCCCAUACUCCUACGGGAGGCAGCAGUAGGGAAUCUUCCACAAUGGGCGCAAGCCUGAUGGAUCAACACCGCGUGAGUGAAGAAGGGUUUCGGCUCGUAAAGCUCUGUUGUUAAAGGAAAACACGUAUGAGAUUU
This 472-nucleotide ribosomal RNA is filed under the name Limosilactobacillus fermentum. Its description in RNAcentral is "bacterial SSU rRNA". It matches the Rfam family "Bacterial small subunit ribosomal RNA", at positions 28 to 463 of the family's 1533-position model. Lineage: Bacteria; Bacillati; Bacillota; Bacilli; Lactobacillales; Lactobacillaceae. The record is from RNAcentral.